This 156-nucleotide unclassified non-coding RNA is filed under the name soil metagenome. RNAcentral's name for it is "partial internal transcribed spacer 1". The record is from RNAcentral.
CUGAGUUACUACUCUUAACCCUUUGUGAACUUUACUCAGUGUUGCUUCGGCAGGUUUUCCCUGGGAGGGAAUUCAGUCAGAAAUGAUAACCUGCCAGAGGCAUCCAAAUUCUAAAUUUCAAUAGACUUUUCUGAGUCUUUUUUCAAAAAAAAAUAA